This 253-nucleotide ribosomal RNA is filed under the name uncultured bacterium. RNAcentral's name for it is "partial 16S ribosomal RNA". It matches the Rfam family "Bacterial small subunit ribosomal RNA", at positions 524 to 776 of the family's 1533-position model. The record is from RNAcentral.
UACGUAGGGUGCAAGCGUUAAUCGGAAUUACUGGGCGUAAAGCGUGCGCAGGCGGUUGUGCAAGACAGGUGUGAAAUCCCCGGGCUUAACCUGGGAACUGCACUUGUGACUGCACAGCUGGAGUACGGCAGAGGGGGAUGGAAUUCCGCGUGUAGCAGUGAAAUGCGUAGAUAUGCGGAGGAAUACCGGUGGCGAAGGCGGCAUCCUGGACCGGCAUUGACGCUGAGGAGCGAAAGCCAGGGGAGCGAACCGG